RNAcentral lists this transfer RNA (86 nucleotides) under SAR324 cluster bacterium. RNAcentral describes it as "tRNA-Ser". It matches the Rfam family "tRNA". Rfam says of the family: Transfer RNA (tRNA) molecules are approximately 80 nucleotides in length. Their secondary structure includes four short double-helical elements and three loops (D, anti-codon, and T loops). Lineage: Bacteria; Deltaproteobacteria. The record is from RNAcentral.
GGAGGGGUGGGUGAGUGGUUGAAACCGGCGGUCUUGAAAACCGUUGUGCGCAAGUACCGGGGGUUCGAAUCCCUCCCCCUCCGCCA